UACGUAGGGGGCAAGCGUUGUCCGGAAUCAUUGGGCGUAAAGAGCGUGUAGGCGGCCAGAUAAGUCCGCUGUGAAAUCUCGAGGCUCAACUUCGAGCUGUCGGUGGAAACUGUCUGGCUAGAGUCCGGAAGAGGAGAAUGGAAUUCCUGGUGUAGCGGUGAAAUGCGCAGAUAUCAGGAAGAACACCCGUGGCGAAGGCGGUUCUCUGGGACGGUACUGACGCUGAGUGAGCGAAAGCCAGGGGAGCAAACGGG
This 254-nucleotide ribosomal RNA is filed under the name uncultured bacterium. RNAcentral's name for it is "partial 16S ribosomal RNA". It matches the Rfam family "Bacterial small subunit ribosomal RNA", at positions 524 to 776 of the family's 1533-position model. The record is from RNAcentral.